This is a non-coding RNA of Vicia faba (fava bean), 225 nucleotides long. Lineage: Eukaryota; Viridiplantae; Streptophyta; Magnoliopsida; Fabales; Fabaceae. The record is from the annotation of a GenBank genome assembly.
AUGGUUAUUGCGGAGAGGUUGUCCGAGGAAGAAAUUGGUGGUUUGAAAUAUUUGUUUGGAGUGACUUUUUGCUAUUCAACAAACUGGUUGGAAAUUUCAUGUAUGUGUGGAGAAUUGCAAAUGAUCAUUUCCCGUCGAAGUGGUUAUACAUUAAGACAUUUGAAAGGCAAUGAGCUGAGAACAGAGGUGAAUAAAGUGUUGAAGAUAACUCGAAUGGAAAAUUAA